RNAcentral lists this long non-coding RNA (1495 nucleotides) under Homo sapiens (human). RNAcentral describes it as "non-protein coding NR2F1-AS1:25". Lineage: Eukaryota; Metazoa; Chordata; Mammalia; Primates; Hominidae. The record is from RNAcentral.
ACAAGUCGGGAGUCGGCGACCGCUUAGUGACGAGCGAUGAUUUUAAAGAGCAGAAUAAAAGGUUUUCCCGUGCCUGCCCCACAGCCCCUCCAGCUCGAAUAAUGGAGAACUGUCAAUGCACUCCGCGAGCGGUGGCCCAUUGUACGCAGCUGAUGGCGAGGAGGCGACUGGGGGUAGCAGGGGCUCCUUGCCCUCGUCCCUAUGCCCAAAUAAACGCGCAAACGCGCUCCCGUCUUCUGGUCAGUUAAAAGGUGAAACGAACACGAUUAAAAUAGACCAAAAGAAAAGAAAGAAAAGAAAACCUUUCUAUGUACAGAUUCUAAAUCGUACUCCCCAUACAGUCAGAGGCAGGGAGUCGAGGGCAGAGGCAGCAGGCGGAGAGAGGGAGAUAGGGCGAGGGAAGGAGAACGCGGAGAGAGACGAAGGGAGUGGGAGACCAGCGACAGCGAGCGCCAGGGCACCGCAGGCACACUGGAUGCCCAGUCCGCCGGCCCAGCCGCCCUCGGACCCUGGACCGUGCGUCGUGGGCACCAGAAACGAGACUCGGCCAAAUCCUGCCUCACCAGCAGGUAGAUGAAACUCAAGAGAAAAGGUGUGGAUAAAUGAAACUAGCCCAUGAUGAACCUGUUUUCUCCGUGACCACAAUAUUAACCAGGAUGAAUGGCGGUGGCAGUGGGCCUGCAUCACAGGUUGCAGCAGAUGUUCUCAAUAUUUCUAUUAAAAUUUCCUUAUUUCCAUAUGCAAGAGGAGCCCCAGAGCUGCAUCCUUAUGGUAGCUACCAUGCCGUGAUGUAAGCUGCCAUUCACUGGGGAGCUUUGGCAAUAGAAUUGGCUAGAUCAGGAAGCCUAUGUCAACUAUGGAACAACAACUUGCAGCUCAUCUCUAUUGAUGAUGGAAUCUCGCUAUGUCACCAGGCUGGAGUGCAGUGGCGCAACCUCGGCUCAGCGCAACAUCCGCCUCCCGGGUUCAAGUGAUUCUCCUACCUCAGCCUCCUGAGUAGCUGGGAUUACAGGAAUCUAAUGACCAUUGAACUGUGGCCAUGACUUCAAUUACAAGUAUUUUCUUCACUAAUGUCAGACUGUGGGCCUUUGUAUAUACACUUUUAACAAACUUUUUGGAAGUGCAAUACAUAUCGCAACAACUUCUCAAUGCUGAAUCAUAGUAUUGGAAGACAUUUUAAGCAACAAUUAAACUCAACUUAUUUACUACCAAUAAUGUACAUAAGUCAGCUGAAGUGAGGAUAACAUGAAUAGCACAAAUACAUUAUGAUUGCUGCCUGGCCAACAGUAAUUAUAAGAAACUGUCAGUUUUGAGAUGUGUCUUGAUUUCAGAGAUGUUAAAAAAGUUUGUAAGUUACCAUUGAUAAAAUAUGAGUUUGCUUCCACAAAUAUUCUUUCUUCUGUCCUUCUGGAACUCAAGAGUAAACAUAUAUUAGAUUUUCUCACCAUUUCAUGCAUGCUGGUUCCUAGGCUACUCUCUGAGUCAUUUUUUUUUU